RNAcentral lists this long non-coding RNA (1774 nucleotides) under Parus major (Great Tit). RNAcentral's name for it is "lncRNA (ENSPMJG00000005327.1)". The record is from RNAcentral. Lineage: Eukaryota; Metazoa; Chordata; Aves; Passeriformes; Paridae.
AUGGGCUGUUUGCUUACAAACCCAUUUUUUCACAAAGGGUUGCAGCUGCAUCUCGGCCCUGGCAGAUGGUGGGAGCUGUGUGCUCGUUCCCCUGUCCCAGCGUCCCGGGCUGCCGUGAUGGCCAUCCCUGCCGUGAGGAGGAGCGGCAGAGAUCCCCCGCACCCCCGGGAGCCCGCGGGCAGACACCGACCCUGCUCCGGGCUGGCGGCUAUCGCUGGGGGAGGCUAUCUCGUCCAGGACUACGUUUCCCAGCGGCUCCUCCCGGGGCUGCACAUGCUCGAUGCGGCUCCCGGCUCCUCCCGGCAGCUCCCGGCGCGGCGCCCGGUGCGGCGCAGGGGCGGUCGGUGCGGUUCCCGGUUCUCGUUCCCGGUGCGGCUCCCGGUGCGGCUCCCGGUACCAUCGGCGGCGCGGCGCUGCCCGGGGCGGUUCCCGAUUCCCGGGGCGGUUCCCGGUUCCAGGGGCGGUUCCCGGUGCCACCCCCGGCGGGGCAUCCUCCCGGUGCGCCCUCGGGAGAGCACGGCCGAGCCCCGCCGCCGCCCCGGGCCCGAGCGCCCCCGGGCCCCGCGGGCCGGCAGCAUGCCCCGCGGGCGAGCCUGGACGCAGGCGGAGGUCAGCAGCCUCCUGUCGCUGGUGGGGGGCUCGGGGGAGGCCGCACUGCUCAUGGCCUCCACGUCGCGACCCAACGAGGCGCUCUGGCGGGAGAUCUCCCGGGGUCUGGCGGCGGCCGGCUACGGGCGCAGCGUGGCCCAGUGCCGCUCCAAGUGGAAGGCGCUCAAGCAGGCUUUCCACUCGGAGCGGGAGACGCGCCGGAGGGCAGGACACCACUCGCCCCGGCUGCCGCCGCACUAUCGAGCCAUGAAGAGCAUCUGGAAGGCGGCCGGACGGCCCGUCUUCGGCGAACGGAGGAUGCCAGACGUGGUGAAGCUGCCCUCCAGAAAGCGCAGGUCAGCCCUUGCCACACGCUCUCCAUCCUCAUCAGAGACACCAGAGCAGGACGUUGGCGGGGACACCCCCUGCACACUGCUGUCUCCGAUGCUGCAGCGUGCGAAGGACGAGCCAGACACUCGUUUUCCUGGUGAGACGUCCCUGGGGAUGGGAAGAGGAAACCAAAUGCUGCCCCUGGCUGUUGCAGCCACAGGCUCCCAUGAGACAGCAGCCACGAGUGAGCAGCCAGCAACAGCUGAAGAUGCAUCAGACACAAGCCUGCAUGGUGGGUGCUCCCUGCAGCUUCCCAACACCCUCACAGAGAGCUCUCAGAGCCAUGGUGAGGUGCCAUUGACCCCUCUCUCACUGCAGGGUCUGGCGUGGCAGGCUUGCUCCAGAAUGUCCAGCAACUGCUGGUGCAGAUCCUGCAGACAUCACGGCGGCAGCAGGCACUGCUGGAGAGCCUGGCCAGUGACACAGUCUCCCACCUCCACCUCCUUUCCCACAGUCUCGUGCAGGUGGGCGAGACCUUGCACCAACUCCUGCUCCGGCCACAGAUCCAUCCUGGCCCCAUUGGCCACUACAUCCCCCAUAUGCCCCUUUUUGAGGGUGGCUCUGGAGUGCCCUGCUCCCCUGGUGCUCCCCACACUUCCCUGGAUCACAAAGAGGAGCCUCAGCUGUCCCCCAAUGCCAGGUGCAUCACCCCGUGAGUGCCACCAUCACUGGCCACAGGAGCAACAGCUUUGCUACACAGCCACAGCACAGAUCUUUAUAUCAGAGGUUCCAGAUAUUUUCAAAGUUUAUACUAGAGAGACAUUUUAAUAAAAUUAAAAAUAGCUUUUCUACCAGU